CAAUGGGCGAAAGCCUGAUGCAGCGACGCCGCGUGAGGGAUGACGGCCUUCGGGUUGUAAACCUCUUUCAGCAGGGAAGAAGCGAAAGUGACGGUACCUGCAGAAGAAGCGCCGGCUAACUACGUGCCAGCAGCCGCGGUAAUACGUAGGGCGCGAGCGUUGUCCGGAAUUAUUGGGCGUAAAGAGCUCGUAGGCGGUCUGUCGCGUCGGAUGUGAAAGCCCGGGGCUUAACCCCGGGUCUGCAUUCGAUACGGGCAGACUAGAGUGUGGUAGGGGAGAUCGGAAUUCCUGGUGUAGCGGUGAAAUGCGCAGAUAUCAGGAGGAACACCGGUGGCGAAGGCGGAUCUCUGGGCCAUUACUGACGCUGAGGAGCGAAAGCGUGGGGAGCGAACAGGAUUAGAUACCCUGGUAGUCCACGCCGUAAACGGUGGGAACUAGGUGUUGGCGACAUUCCACGUCGUCGGUGCCGCAGCUAACGCAUUAAGUUCCCCGCCUGGGGAGUACGGCCGCAAGGCUAAAACUCA
This 524-nucleotide ribosomal RNA is filed under the name Streptomyces neyagawaensis. Its description in RNAcentral is "bacterial SSU rRNA". It matches the Rfam family "Bacterial small subunit ribosomal RNA", at positions 369 to 903 of the family's 1533-position model. The record is from RNAcentral. Lineage: Bacteria; Bacillati; Actinomycetota; Actinomycetes; Kitasatosporales; Streptomycetaceae.